GCAGACUCUCACUAUUGGAGCGGCCGAUAUCGGAUUAGCUAGUUGGUGGGGUAAAGGCUCACCAAGGCAACGAUCCGUAGCUGGUUUGAGAGGACGACCAGCCACACUGGGACUGAGACACGGCCCAGACUCCUACGGGAGGCAGCAGUGGGGAAUUUUGGACAAUGGGGGAAACCCUGAUCCAGCCAUCCCGCGUGUAUGAUGAAGGCCUUCGGGUUGUAAAGUACUUUUGGCAGAGAAGAAAAGGUAUCUCCUAAUACGGGAUACUGCUGACGGUAUCUGCAGAAUAAGCACCGGCUAACUACGUGCCAGCAGCCGCGGUAAUACGUAGGGUGCAAGCGUUAAUCGGAAUUACUGGGCGUAAAGCGUGUGUAGGCGGUUCGGAAAGAAAGAUGUGAAAUCCCAGGGCUCAACCUUGGAACUGCAUUUUUAACUGCCGAGCUAGAGUAUGUCAGAGGGGGGUAGAAUUCCACGUGUAGCAGUGAAAUGCGUAGAUAUGUGGAGGAAUACCGAUGGCGAAGGCAGCCCCCUGGGAUAAUACUGACGCUCAGACACGAAAGCGUGGGGAGCAAACAGGAUUAGAUACCCUGGUAGUCCACGCCGUAAACGGUGGAUGCUGGAUGUGGGGCCCGUUCCACGGGUUCCGUGUCGGAGCUAACGCGUUAAGCAUCCCGCCUGGGGAGUACGGCCGCAAGGCUAAAACUCAAAGAAAUUGACGGGGGCCCGCACAAGCGGCGGAGCAUGCGGAUUAAUUCGAUGCAACGCGAAGAACCUUACCUGGGCUUGACAUGUUCCCGACCGCUCCAGAGAUGGGGCUUCCCUUCGGGGCGGGUUCACAGGUGGUGCAUGGUCGUCGUCAGCUCGUGUCGUGAGAUGUUGGGUUAAGUCCCGCAACGAGCGCAACCCUCGCCCUGUGUUGCCAGCACGUCAUGGUGGGAACUCACGGGGGACCGCCGGGGUCAACUCGGAGGAAGGUGGGGAUGACGUCAGAUCAUCAUGCCCCUUACGUCCAGGGCUUCACGCAUGCUACAAUGGCCGGUACAACGGGAUGCGACACGGCGACGUGGAGCGGAUCCCUGAAAACCGGUCUCAGUUCGGAUUGGAGUCUGCAACCCGACUCCAUGAAGGCGGAGUCGCUAGUAAUCGCGGAUCAGCAACGCCGCGGUGAAUGCUCCCCGGC
RNAcentral lists this non-coding RNA (1180 nucleotides) under Enterocytozoon bieneusi H348. Its description in RNAcentral is "Bacterial small subunit ribosomal RNA". It matches the Rfam family "Bacterial small subunit ribosomal RNA", at positions 208 to 1379 of the family's 1533-position model. The record is from Rfam by way of RNAcentral. Lineage: Eukaryota; Fungi; Microsporidia; Enterocytozoonidae.